GUUCGCGCCUUGAGAUCGAUUCGUGCCUCUGACCUAGAUCGUUUGUGUGCGCUGCGCUUGUUGGUAACUUUGCUCCUGCGGUAAUUUAUGUGACUCAUCUGCAGAGCCUCGGAGCUGCGGAGAGGGGGCCGGCGGAGCUUCCCUGGCCGGCAAACCGGCCUCCAAAAGGAGGACAGGAAUAAAAGAGAUGGAUGGGAAGUCAAUUCCUGGGUCUCCUGUUCUAGGUGAUGUACAGUCUUUCGUUUCUCUGCUCUUGGUCGGCAACCUUUGGUUUCCAAAUGCUCAUUUUCUUUGUAAUUUUCCUUCUAGAGCGUGUAAGGAGGGUGAAAAUAUUGCUUCAACUGCUGAAAAUCAAGCAGCCGAUUUUCAAUCAAGAUUCACAGGCUGUAGACAGGCACUCCUUGCCGGCAAGAGAUAGAAACAUCUGCGGACACACAUGUACCCAAACGUGCAGGUGGCAACACAGAACACGCAUCCACACAGGUGCUCAGUGGAGACUGCUGCAGGAGAGAUGGAAGACCAUUCUGUUAAGAUAAACAUUGGAAAGCACCUGGCAAAAUGCCUGCUGCAUGACGGCGCUCAAGACACGGAUGGCCAUCCUCAUCACCAUCAUCCUCCAGGUCCCCAUCACCAUAUUCUAUGUCAGCCACUACUUCAAACACUGGCAAAUUCACUUCUCGAAAAGAUUCCGCACGGCGGCACCCGGGUGGCUCAGCAGGUGAAGCGUCUGCCUUCGCCUCGAGUCAUGAUCUCAGGGUCCUGGGAUCGAGCGCCGCAUCCAGAGUCUGCUUCUCCCUCUCCCUCUUUUCUCUCUCU
Molecule: long non-coding RNA, 816 nt
Filed under: Vulpes vulpes (red fox)
Lineage: Eukaryota; Metazoa; Chordata; Mammalia; Carnivora; Canidae
Description: lncRNA (ENSVVUG00000019373.1)
Source: RNAcentral